RNAcentral lists this long non-coding RNA (306 nucleotides) under Lathyrus oleraceus (garden pea). RNAcentral's name for it is "Pisum sativum (pea) long non-coding RNA (PSAT_LNC001518)". Lineage: Eukaryota; Viridiplantae; Streptophyta; Magnoliopsida; Fabales; Fabaceae. The record is from RNAcentral.
AAAUCCUAAGGGGAUACUAGGUUAAAAUUCAAAGAGACAAAAGAGACCGCGGGAGUUGAAUUUUUAAAAGAUUUCAUUCACUUCAACAACUAUAUAGCAAUUGUUUUCUCUUCUCCUUUUUCUUUUUAUUCUUUUUGUUUUUUUUAGAAGGAGUAUGUAUUGACAUGUAUUGAUAUCCUUCUAUUUUUUAUUCAUUUUUUUUCAUUUUCUAUUUUCUAUUUUUUUUCUUUUUCUGCCAACUUUUGAAAUAUUACAAACAUAAUUAUUCAACCCACACAACUCCAAACAAGACUCUUUCGACCCUUU